CCUACGGGGGGCAGCAGUGGGGAAUAUUGUACAAUGGGGGCAACCCUGAUACAGCAAUGCCGCGUGAGUGAAGAAGGCCUUAGGGUUGUAAAACUCUUUCGCUAGGGAAGAUAAUGACGGUACCUAGUAAAGAAGUCCCGGCUAACUCCGUGCCAGCAGCCGCGGUAAUACGGAGGGGACUAGCGUUGUUCGGAAUUACUGGGCGUAAAGAGUUCGUAGGCGGAUAAGCAAGUAAGAGGUGAAAGCCCAGGGCUCAACCCUGGAACUGCCUUUUAAACUGCUUAUCUAGAGACCGGUAGAGGUUAGGGGAAUACCUAGUGUAGAGGUGAAAUUCGUAGAUAUUAGGUGGAACACCAGUGGCGAAGGCGCCUAACUGGACCGGUACUGACGCUGAGGAACGAAAGCGUGGGGAGCAAACAGGAUUAGAUACCCGGGUAGUC
Molecule: ribosomal RNA, 440 nt
Filed under: uncultured bacterium
Lineage: Bacteria
Description: bacterial SSU rRNA
Rfam family: Bacterial small subunit ribosomal RNA
Source: RNAcentral